GGCCUUGACAUACUAAGAACUUUCCAGAGAUGGAUUGGUGCCUUCGGGAACUUAGAUACAGGUGCUGCAUGGCUGUCGUCAGCUCGUGUCGUGAGAUGUUGGGUUAAGUCCGCAACGAGCGCAACCCUUUUCCUUAUUUGCCAGCGGGUCAUGCCGGGAACUUUAAGGAUACCGCCAGUGACAAACUGGAGGAAGGCGGGGACGACGUCAAGUCAUCAUGGCCCUUACGGCCAGGGCUACACACGUGCUACAAUGGUCGGUACAAAGGGUUGCUACCUCGCGAGAGGAUGCUAAUCUCAAAAAGCCGAUCGUAGUCCGGAUCGCAGUCUGCAACUCGACUGCGUGAAGUCGGAAUCGCUAGUAAUCGCGGAUCAGAAUGCCGCGGUGAAUACGUUCCCGGGCCUUGUACACACCGCCCGUCACACCAUGGGAGUUUGUUGCACCAGAAGUAGGUAGUCUAACCGCAAGGAGGACGCUUACCACGGUGUGGCCGAUGACUGGGGUGAAGUCGUAACAAGGUAGGCGUAGAUGA
RNAcentral lists this ribosomal RNA (532 nucleotides) under uncultured bacterium. RNAcentral describes it as "bacterial SSU rRNA". It matches the Rfam family "Bacterial small subunit ribosomal RNA", at positions 977 to 1509 of the family's 1533-position model. The record is from RNAcentral.